AUCGAACGCUGGCGGCAGGCCUAACACAUGCAAGUCGAACGAGUGGCGGACGGGUGAGUAAUGUCUGGGAAACUGCCUGAUGGAGGGGGAUAACUACUGGAAACGGUAGCUAAUACCGCAUACCAUCAGAUGUGCCCCGGUGGGAUUAGCUAGUUGGUGGGGUAACGGCUCACCAAGGCGACGAUCCCUAGCUGUUCCGAGAGGAUGACCGGCCACACUGGAACUGAGACACGGUCCAGACUCCGACGGGAGGCAGCAGGGGGGAAUAUUGGACAAUGGGCGCAAGCCUGAUGCAGCCAUGCCGCGUGUGUGAAGAAGGCCUUCGGGUUGUAAAGUACUUUCAGCGGGGAGGCGUUACCCGAAGAGGAAGCACCGGCUAACUACGUGCCAGCAGCCGCGGUAAUAC
Molecule: ribosomal RNA, 406 nt
Filed under: uncultured bacterium
Lineage: Bacteria
Description: partial 16S ribosomal RNA
Rfam family: Bacterial small subunit ribosomal RNA
Source: RNAcentral